CUCAGGUCUUUGUCGGACAGCUUCUGUGGAAGUCCUCCUGAGUCAGCCCUGCAGAUUCCUCCUGGAGUUGGACUAGAUGACUCUGGAGGUCCCUUCCAACCCUAGGAUUCUAUGAACGGUACAGCCAGGAGCGCCCACAAGGCAAAGAUUUCCACGGCCGAUUUAAAGCAACAUUUGCUCAGCUCCCAGCCAUUGACGCCGCCCCGGUACUUGAGAUUCAUCAAGAACAUUUUCAUCAUCUGGACCCAUGGAAAGGAGCCUCUUGGCAGCGUCCGUCAUGACUCUGAACAACGUUCACCCCACCCGCAAGCAGACUCCAGGGAGAGAGUUGCAGAUCUUGACCUCCGGACUCUCCCUGGACUAGAAAUAUUUAACGCUAAGCCUGCUUUGCUGCUCCUCCGAGGUUGGACGUGGCGCGAUGACUCUUGCCUGGGGAUUCUCCUCCACCGGCCUCUCGUUGCAACAUCCCUCCUUCCCACCCCCUUUCUGUAUCUGCAGCUUCUGCCCGACAGACGCACCAUGUGCGCUUCUGAUGAAGGGAGCUCUGACUCACAAAUGCCUCGGCUGGA
This is a long non-coding RNA of Eublepharis macularius, 569 nucleotides long. RefSeq lists it as uncharacterized. The record is from RefSeq and is a predicted model, not a curated record. The transcript is spliced from 3 exons. Lineage: Eukaryota; Metazoa; Chordata; Lepidosauria; Squamata; Eublepharidae.